AGCAGUAGCCGCGGGAAUACGUAGGUGGCAAGCGUUGUCCGGAAUUAUUGGGCGUAAAGCGCGCGCAGGCGGAUCAGUCAGUCUGUCUUAAAAGUCCGGGGCUUAACCCCGUGAUGGGAUGGAAACUGCUGAUCUAGAGUAUCGGAGAGGAAAGUGGAAUUCCUAGUGUAGCGGUGAAAUGCGUAGAUAUUAGGAAGAACACCAGUGGCGAAGGCGACUUUCUGGACGAAAACUGACGCUGAGGCGCGAAAGCCAGGGGAGCGAACGGGAUUAGAUACCCCCCGUAGUCCCUGUCUCUUAUAC
RNAcentral lists this ribosomal RNA (303 nucleotides) under uncultured bacterium. RNAcentral describes it as "partial 16S ribosomal RNA". It matches the Rfam family "Bacterial small subunit ribosomal RNA", at positions 507 to 807 of the family's 1533-position model. The record is from RNAcentral.